Molecule: long non-coding RNA, 357 nt
Filed under: Salmo salar (Atlantic salmon)
Lineage: Eukaryota; Metazoa; Chordata; Actinopteri; Salmoniformes; Salmonidae
Description: lncRNA (ENSSSAG00000106563.1)
Source: RNAcentral
GGGAAGCCCGCGUGCACGACAAAACAACUACCGAGGGAGAACGGAGUUGACAGCUGGUUAAUAUUUAGUGCAUGUGUACACUGCGUCUGUCUGGAGGGAGAAGGAGCGGGAGGAGAUGACUGGGAGGAGCAGACUGGCCGAGAAUGGAGAGGCGAAAAAGGCAUGAAAAUCAAGAUGGUGGCAGCUGUGUCGACUGGUGGUGAGACUGGAGGAACCUUUGUGAACCAGUCAUCUCAUCGUCCUCAGCCUAGAGCGAUGCCACUUUGUAGAAUGAGACCCUUCUCCUGACACAGGGAGGGUAGUCCUCCCCCAACCUUAGCAACCCGGACUCCCUACCUACCUACCUACCUACCUACC